CCUACGGGGCGCAGCAGUGAGGAAUAUUGGUCAAUGGACGCAAGUCUGAACCAGCCAUGCCGCGUGCAGGAAGACUGCCCUAUGGGUUGUAAACCUCUUUUGUCAGGGAGCAACGCCGGCUACGUGUAGCCGGACUGAGAGUACCUGAAGAAAAAGCAUCGGCUAACUCCGUGCCAGCAGCCGCGGUAAUACGGAGGAUGCGAGCGUUAUCCGGAUUUAUUGGGUUUAAAGGGUGCGUAGGCGGAAUGCCAAGUCAGCGGUAAAAUCGCGGGGCUCAACCUCGCUCCGCCGUUGAAACUGGCGUUCUUGAGUGGGCGAGAGGUAUGCGGAAUGCGUGGUGUAGCGGUGAAAUGCAUAGAUAUCACGAAGAACUCCGAUUGCGAAGGCAGCUUACUAAACUGCCACUGACAUUGAUGCUCGAAAGUGUGGGUAUCAAACAGGAUUAGAUACCCGAGUAGUC
This 460-nucleotide ribosomal RNA is filed under the name uncultured bacterium. RNAcentral's name for it is "partial 16S ribosomal RNA". It matches the Rfam family "Bacterial small subunit ribosomal RNA", at positions 338 to 795 of the family's 1533-position model. The record is from RNAcentral.